Molecule: ribosomal RNA, 470 nt
Filed under: Salmonella enterica
Lineage: Bacteria; Pseudomonadati; Pseudomonadota; Gammaproteobacteria; Enterobacterales; Enterobacteriaceae
Also listed under: 1 other name
Description: partial 23S ribosomal RNA
Rfam family: Bacterial large subunit ribosomal RNA
Source: RNAcentral
CGUAUCACCCAAGACAACUUUACGGAGUUGACGAUUGACGGAGCGAAGCGACGUCAAAGCGUUCAUUAAAGUCGAGUUGGCUUAGGGAUACGUUCGUUGGGUAGGGGAGCGUUCUGUAAGCCUGUGAAGGUGUGUCGUGAGGCAUGCUGGAGGUAUCAGAAGUGCGAAUGCUGACAUAAGUAACGAUAAAGCGGGUGAAAAGCCCGCUCGCCGGAAGACCAAGGGUUCCUGUCCAACGUUAAUCGGGGCAGGGUGAGUCGACCCCUAAGGCGAGGCCGAAAGGCGUAGUCGAUGGGAAACGGGUUAAUAUUCCCGUACUUGGUGUUACUGCGAAGGGGGGACGGAGAAGGCUAUGUUGGCCGGGCGACGGUUGUCCCGGUUUAAGCGUGUAGGUGUGUGUUCCAGGUAAAUCCGGUUCACUUUAACACUGAGGCGUGACGACGAGGCACUACGGUGCUGAAGCAACAAAU